ACAGGUAAUCUGGACAGAUUGGAGAGCUGGGCGAUCACCAGCCACAUGAGGUUUAACAAAAGCAAGUGCCGGGUCCUGCACCUGGGACGGGGCAACCCUGGCUAUACGUACAGACUGGGCGACGAGACGCUGGAGAGCAGCCCCGCAGAGAGGGAUCUGGGGGUCGUGGUUGACAACAAGCUGAAUAUGAGCCAGCAGUGUGCCCUGGCAGCCAGGAGGGCCAACUGUAUCCUGGGAUGCAUCAAGCACGGCAUUGCUAGUCGGUCGAGGGAAGUGACUGUCCCGCUCUACUCUGCGCUGGUGCGGCCUCACCUCGAGUACUGUGUGCAGUUCUGGGCACCACAGUACAAAAAGGACAUUAAACUGUUGGGGAGUGUCCAGAGGAGGGUGACGAAGAUGGUGAAGGGCCUAGAGGGGAAGACAUAUGAGGAGCAGCUGAGGUCACUGGGCCUGUUCAGCCUGGAGAAGAGGAGGCUGAGGGGGGACCUCAUCGCAGUCUACAACUUCCUCGCGAGGGGGAGUGGAGAGGCAGGGGACCUAUUCUCCAUAAACACCAGUGAUAACACCCGCGGGAACGGUGUUAAGCUGAGGCAGGGGAAGUUUAGGCUGGACAUCAGGAAGAGGUUCUUCACCGAGAGGGUGGCUACACACUGGAACAGGCUCCCCAGUGAAGUAGCCACUGCACCAAGCCUGUCUGAAUUUAAGAAGCGAUUGGACUGUGCACUUAGUCACACGGUCUAAACUUUUGGGUAGACCUGUGCGGUGCCAGGAGUUGGACUUGAUGAUCCUUAUGGGUCCCUUCCAACUCGGGAUAUUCUCUGAGUCUAUGAUUCUAAGUGUUUCAAUGCGUUCAUUCCGUAUCAGGUUUUAAACUGUAUCAUGGUUAAGAUUCAUGACCAGGGACCUGAACAGCUACAAGAGAAGCAAACUGAUAAAACAGAAACAGAAGAACCCUCACCUCAUUCUUAUGCUUUAUUUUUGGCUGUGUAUGGCUGAAAUCUCAUUAUGUGAGGUUUUAGAAACUGUACCC
Molecule: long non-coding RNA, 1030 nt
Organism: Anser brachyrhynchus (Pink-footed goose)
Lineage: Eukaryota; Metazoa; Chordata; Aves; Anseriformes; Anatidae
Source: Ensembl